RNAcentral lists this long non-coding RNA (1215 nucleotides) under Rattus norvegicus (Norway rat). RNAcentral's name for it is "long non-coding RNA NONRATT024055". Lineage: Eukaryota; Metazoa; Chordata; Mammalia; Rodentia; Muridae. The record is from RNAcentral.
UCUUGUCUUCAGGCUAGGCUGCUCUGCUGCCUCUGAACCCUCAUGGCCCUUAUCUGUAAUUUCCAGUUGGUUCUGUAGUACUGCUGAGUUUGCUAAUUGAUCUUUGAAUAUAAAUUCUUAGGCAGGGCCAGAGUCUACUACACUUUCCACUCCUGUGUUUGAGUCUCCACAGUAGCGUAAGGCAAGAGUGGGUACUCGGCCUGUAUGUGUUCAUGAGUCAUCCACACCAUAUUCCAGCAUAGGAUAUAAAUGACACUAUCGACAUCAGCCAGGGACACUGUCUCGGAAGCAGACUCAGACUCUGGUAGCACGAGCUUAUUUUUAUCCAAAGCAGGUAAGAUUGGAGUAAACAAAGGAGGACAUGGUGGAUCCCCAGAGCUCGCUGGUCAGGCUCUCAAAAACAGGCAGAAAGCAGAAGAGGAAGACAUCCAGUGUCAACCCCUGACCUUUACCCACUCAUAUAUACUCUCCAUGAACAUAGACACACAAGGAAGCCUCAACUUCAUCCCUAUUGUAAAUGAGAAUUAUGCGGUGGUAGACCAGGCAUGGAAACAUACCUAUAAUCUCAGCACUGUGGAGAAUAAUGAAUUCUGGGUUAGCCUGGGUUACUUAAUGAGUUCUAGGAUAACCUGGGCUACACCAUGAGAACCUAUCUCAAGAAAAGAACAGAACAGUGACAAACUUCAAAUUUUAGAUUGACACAUAAAAUGUUGGCUAACUGUUGGGAUGGAAAUGGAGAAGCAAGCACUCUCCUGUAAACAACUGUACCUAUUUUUAAUAUAAAACUUUACAUACCCUCUGAGCCUAAAUUGUAUCUGAUGGCCAUUAUACAACAGGCAAAAGAAUGUUCCCUGAAGUAUUUGUAUGAAAGUAAGGCUAGAAACAGGUAAAUGUUUAUCACUUACCUAAAUAAAUCAUGGAAUGCAGUAGUAGUUAAAAAGAACACAGUGUUUGCGUGUUGCUGAGAUGACAAUGUCAAUGAGAAAAGUAAAAGGUGAUGUGAUUUAACCGUACUGUGGGUUAAAGACAGAAUUACAUGUAGGUCUCUAUAAAUCUGUCACAGGAAGACAAAUGCCUAAUACUAUGGCUGCCUCCAAAGAGGAAAAUUUGGGGUUAGGGAUCAGGAAGAGAUUUUUGUAAUCAUGCAUAUUUGACUUUUUUUCUGGAGACAUUUAAUACCUUUGCAAAAUAAAUUCUUGGCAGUUUAUAAACUUA